UUGACAUCCAGAGAACUUAGCAGAGAUGCUUUGGUGCCUUCGGGAACUCUGAGACAGGCGCUGCAUGGCUGUCGUCAGCUCGUGUUGUGAAAUGUUGGGUUAACGUCCGCAACGAGCGCAACCCUUAUCCUUUGUUGCCAGCGGUUCGGCCGGGAACUCAAAGGAGACUGCCGGUGAUAAACCGGAGGAAGGUGGGGAUGACGUCAAGUCAUCAUGGCCCUUACGGCCAGGGCUACACACGUGCUACAAUGGCGCAUACAAAGAGAAGCGACCUCGCGAGAGCAAGCGGACCUCAUAAAGUGCGUCGUAGUCCGGAUUGGAGUCUGCAACUCGACUCCAUGAAGUCGGAAUCGCUAGUAAUCGUAGAUCAGAAUGCUACGGUGAAUACGUUCCCGGGCCUUGUACACACCGCCCGUCACACCAUGGGAGUGGGUUGCAAAAGAAGUAGGUAGCUUAACCUUCGGGAGGGCGCUUACCACUUUGUGAUUCAUGACUGGGGUGAAGUCGUAACAAGGUAAGCGUACGUGU
RNAcentral lists this ribosomal RNA (528 nucleotides) under uncultured bacterium. RNAcentral's name for it is "bacterial SSU rRNA". It matches the Rfam family "Bacterial small subunit ribosomal RNA", at positions 981 to 1509 of the family's 1533-position model. The record is from RNAcentral.